UUUUCUGUGGCUCUGGAUAUGAAGCAGUCUGUUUUGGUUGGACAUGGAUAGGUCCAACACACAAACAGACAUGGAACAUUAAAUCCAUACAGGACAUACACAAUAUAGAAAAUGGAUGGUGUUGAAACCAGAACAAUUUGGAAAAUCCAGAACCUCAGGUUUUAAUCUCGCAGUCCUGAUGCUGACCCAUGGCUGCGCCAAGUGCAAGUUGGGUUCCCAGCAGUGUCUGCAUCCAGCGCAGAUUAGUGGAGGUGAUGGUGGAGGCAGUUUUGGAGCCAGUAGGGGACUCAGCGGCAUUACCAACGGCUGCAUCAGUGAAGUGGGCCUGAAGUGGACUCAAGGUGGCAGUGGAGUUGAGUUUGGGCCAGUGCAGUACUUGGGAGAAUCAGUGGCGUCUGUAUUGUCGAGGUCCAGCAAGUACUAAUAGUGGCAAAGGUGUCAGUGGAGGCAUGAUGGCGCCAAAGAGUGGUGACUUGCAUUCCAGCAGCAUCAGCACAGCAAAGGGGACUCGUGCCUGGCCACUAGGUCUAUAGUCCAAGGCGGAACACUUAACAAGGACUAUAAAGUUGAACAUUUUCUCUAUUUCUUUAUCUUGCUGCCUUUAUAUUCUAUGUCUUGGUUUAUUUUUCUGUGUUUUAAGAUGGCUGCAAAGAACGGUGAUACUAUACAAAUUUUUCACUGCAUUUUGUAACAAACUACACGUGACAAUAAAUAAAUCAAAUCGGAUUAACAGUAUUGCUCACCUGGAUGAGAAUUACUUUCUGCUCUCCAAUAAUCUUGAAAGAUGUUAAAAAGAGUUGAGUGUAUUCACAGCAGAUUAAAGUCAGAAGCAAAGUUGUUCCAACGAUACCAUUUAGGUUUUUGACGAUUGGACUGUUCUGACAUGACAUAGGCCAAACUAAAACUGUCUGUAAAACUGUUGCUGUGUUGUAAAUGAAAAAAAACCUGUUUACAGAUAAUCCAGGAUGAAUUGUACAACUUCUCUGUUGAACCAUUCACCAUGGAAAACAAAGAAUGUUCUGGAAAAGAUUAAAAGCAGCAAACAUGCUCUCUAAAGUGUUGUAAAACGCUAUUACAUUUGUAUCCACGACAGCAUGAUGCUUUUUUUUAAUCAUUUAAUUAAUUUUUAUGUUAUAUUGCUGUUAUCUUGAAUUUUACUGUUUUAUACUGUUAUCUUAAAUCUUGAAAAGAUUUGUAGAAACAUUAUCUAUAAAUUAAUACUUUAAUUUCUAGCAUUCUGUAUUUUAUCUCAAAACAAGAAAGUAGCCAACAAUUAAACAAAACCUGAGAGGUUUGCAUUUC
Chiloscyllium plagiosum (whitespotted bambooshark) is the source of this 1302-nucleotide non-coding RNA. The record is from RefSeq and is a predicted model, not a curated record. Lineage: Eukaryota; Metazoa; Chordata; Chondrichthyes; Orectolobiformes; Hemiscylliidae.